GGGCGCUUAGCUCAGUUGGGAGAGCACAUGCUUUACACGCAUGUGGUCGGGGGUUCGAGUCCCUUAGCGCCCACCA
RNAcentral lists this transfer RNA (76 nucleotides) under Cloacimonas acidaminivorans (SeqCode). Its description in RNAcentral is "tRNA-Val". It matches the Rfam family "tRNA". From Rfam's summary of the family: Transfer RNA (tRNA) molecules are approximately 80 nucleotides in length. Their secondary structure includes four short double-helical elements and three loops (D, anti-codon, and T loops). Further hydrogen bonds mediate the characteristic L-shaped molecular structure. tRNAs have two regions of fundamental functional importance: the anti-codon, which is responsible for specific mRNA codon recognition, and the 3' end, to which the tRNAs corresponding amino acid is attached (by aminoacyl-tRNA synthetases). tRNAs cope with the degeneracy of the genetic code in two manners: having more than one tRNA (with a specific anti-codon) for a particular amino acid; and 'wobble' base-pairing, i.e. permitting non-standard base-pairing at the 3rd anti-codon position. Lineage: Bacteria; Pseudomonadati; Candidatus Cloacimonadota; Cloacimonadia (SeqCode); Cloacimonadales (SeqCode); Cloacimonadaceae (SeqCode). The record is from RNAcentral. RNAcentral also lists the same sequence under 4 other names.